CCUCUCUGAACGCGCCCGAUCUCGUCUGAUCUCGGAAGCUAAGCAGGGUCGGGCCUGGUUAGUACUUGGAUGGGAGUCCGCUUGUUUUUUUUAACAUUUGUCUCCCCUCAUAUGUGAGAGUACGA
RNAcentral lists this ribosomal RNA (125 nucleotides) under Sorex araneus (European shrew). Lineage: Eukaryota; Metazoa; Chordata; Mammalia; Eulipotyphla; Soricidae. The record is from RNAcentral.